UCUUCCCUAGAGGUGUCGAAGGUGUCCCUACAGUGUUACAUGUGUGUCUGUCCAUAGGUGGCAGAGAGGAGACAGGCUAUGUCUAGGCUCAGUAUUGUGACCUUUGAUCAUCUAAAUGAUUAAUAGCCUAACAAU
This is a small nucleolar RNA of Acomys russatus (golden spiny mouse), 135 nucleotides long. RefSeq annotates it as small nucleolar RNA SNORA17. NCBI's taxonomy places the organism in Eukaryota, Metazoa, Chordata, Mammalia, Rodentia, Muridae. The transcript has a single exon. The record is from RefSeq and is a predicted model, not a curated record.